Long non-coding RNA from Mandrillus leucophaeus (drill), 888 nucleotides. RefSeq lists it as uncharacterized. The record is from RefSeq and is a predicted model, not a curated record. The transcript has 3 exons. Lineage: Eukaryota; Metazoa; Chordata; Mammalia; Primates; Cercopithecidae.
AGGACCUACCAGUUUGCUCUGCUCAUCCUUGAUCGGGAUGAGACGGAUACCCUGAGAGACGCAACAGAAUCAGGUCCUGGGAUUGUGUUAGCAGAAUGACGGGAGUAUGAGAUCCACCACGUGGCGAGGAACCCCAGGAACCUGCUUUCUUCUUGAAGAGCAACUGAGAACUAUUCCCAAGUUAUCCUUCACUUUGAUCCAGGCAAUGAUCAGGUGGAGUAAAACAUAAGGAAGAGCAUCUUUUUGGUUCAAAGGAUGAAAAAAAUUGGGACAACAUGGAAGUGUCUGAUUUCUGCCUGGGCUGAGGAUUCAGAAGAAGAUGUGUGGAACACAGCCUGGAAACCUGGUUGAUGAAUUCCACCGCAAGUAGUGGAAGAAACACACCUACAACAUGAGCAGAGAAGAUUUUUCUUCUGUACUUUCCAGGACUCGAAGCUGCUUUGUUUUUUGGUUGUUGGGUGGGGAAGGAGGAACAAUAGUGUAGCUUCCAGAAGACAGAAGAGAGUUAUUUCUUGAGUGUGAAUUAAGCAGUACCAAGAGACCUCAAACUAGCUCUCUCUCCUGAUAGAAAUUUUACUGUUAAGAGUUUUUCUUUAGGUUUAAAACCUUGAAAGCUCCAUAAUGCUCCUGAGUAGAACAAUAAAGCCAUUAGUAGUCAAUGGUUUUCUUUAAUAUUUUUCUUCCAUUUCAAUUUUAGUUCUAAUUUUAUCUGACUCCUACAAACACGUUUCAUAUUCUCAUGAGGACUGGGCCCAUAUGUGUAAAUGGUUCAAACAUCUUAAUUUGUUGACUGAACUAGUCUAAAUAGUCAAAUUUUUUUUCAGGCAAAAGUGAAUUUCAUCAAAUUCGUUGACCCACCAUUUCUUAAAUUCAUCACUGAUUGAUUAU